RNAcentral lists this ribosomal RNA (460 nucleotides) under uncultured bacterium. Its description in RNAcentral is "partial 16S ribosomal RNA". It matches the Rfam family "Bacterial small subunit ribosomal RNA", at positions 338 to 795 of the family's 1533-position model. The record is from RNAcentral.
CCUACGGGUGGCAGCAGUGAGGAAUAUUGGUCAAUGGGCGCGAGCCUGAACCAGCCAAGUAGCGUGAAGGAUGACUGCCCUACGGGUUGUAAACUUCUUUUAUAAAGGAAUAAAGUGAGGCACGUGUCCCUUUUUGUGUGUACUUUAUGAAUAAGGAUCGGCUAACUCCGUGCCAGCAGCCGCGGUAAUACGGAGGAUCCGAGCGUUAUCCGGAUUUAUUGGGUUUAAAGGGUGCGGAGAUGGGUUGUUAAGUCAGUUGUGAAAGUUUGCGGCUCAACCGUAAAAUUGCAAUUGAUCCUGGCAGUCUUGAGUAGAGUAGAGGUAGGCGGAAUGCGCGGUGUAGCGGUGAAAUGCUUAGAUAGCACGAAGAACUCCGAUUGCGAAGGCAGCUUACGAGACUGACACUGACACUGAUGCUCGAAAGUGUGGGUAUCAAACAGGAUUAGAUACCCCGGUAGUC